UUCCGUAGGUGAACCUGCGGAGGGAUCAUUACACAAAUAUGAAGGCGGGCUGGAACCUCUCGGGGUUACAGCCUUGCUGAAUUAUUCACCCUUGUCUUUUGCGUACUUCUUGUUUCCUUGGUGGGUUCGCCCACCACUAGGACAAACAUAAACCUUUUGUAAUUGCAAUCAGCGUCAGUAACAAAUUAAUAAUUACAACUUUCAACAACGGAUCUCUUGGUUCUGGCAUCGAUGAAGAACGCAGCGAAAUGCGAUAAGUAGUGUGAAUUGCAGAAUUCAGUGAAUCAUCGAAUCUUUGAACGCACAUUGCGCCCUUUGGUAUUCCAAAGGGCAUGCCUGUUCGAGCGUCAUUUGUACCCUCAAGCUUUGCUUGGUGUUGGGCGUCUUGUCUCUAGCUUUGCUGGAGACUCGCCUUAAAGUAAUUGGCAGCCGGCCUACUGGUUUCGGAGCGCAGCACAAGUCGCACUCUCUAUCAGCAAAGGUCUAGCAUCCAUUAAGCCUUUUUUUCAACUUUGACCUCGGAUCAGGUAGG
This 532-nucleotide ribosomal RNA is filed under the name Alternaria alternata. RNAcentral describes it as "eukaryotic LSU rRNA". The stretch from base 197 to 350 matches the Rfam family "5.8S ribosomal RNA". The record is from RNAcentral. Lineage: Eukaryota; Fungi; Ascomycota; Dothideomycetes; Pleosporales; Pleosporaceae.